This 1372-nucleotide ribosomal RNA is filed under the name uncultured bacterium. RNAcentral's name for it is "bacterial SSU rRNA". It matches the Rfam family "Bacterial small subunit ribosomal RNA", at positions 28 to 1381 of the family's 1533-position model. The record is from RNAcentral.
GAUGAACGCUGGCGGCGUGCCUAAUACAUGCAAGUCGAGCGAACGGACGAGAAGCUUGCUUCUCUGAUGUUAGCGGCGGACGGGUGAGUAACACGUGGAUAACCUACCUAUAAGACUGGGAUAACUUCGGGAAACCGGAGCUAAUACCGGAUAAUAUUUUGAACCGCAUGGUUCAAAAGUGAAAGACGGUCUUGCUGUCACUUAUAGAUGGAUCCGCGCUGCAUUAGCUAGUUGGUAAGGUAACGGCUUACCAAGGCAACGAUGCAUAGCCGACCUGAGAGGGUGAUCGGCCACACUGGAACUGAGACACGGUCCAGACUCCUACGGGAGGCAGCAGUAGGGAAUCUUCCGCAAUGGGCGAAAGCCUGACGGAGCAACGCCGCGUGAGUGAUGAAGGUCUUCGGAUCGUAAAACUCUGUUAUUAGGGAAGAACAUAUGUGUAAGUAACUGUGCACAUCUUGACGGUACCUAAUCAGAAAGCCACGGCUAACUACGUGCCAGCAGCCGCGGUAAUACGUAGGUGGCAAGCGUUAUCCGGAAUUAUUGGGCGUAAAGCGCGCGUAGGCGGUUUUUUAAGUCUGAUGUGAAAGCCCACGGCUCAACCGUGGAGGGUCAUUGGAAACUGGAAAACUUGAGUGCAGAAGAGGAAAGUGGAAUUCCAUGUGUAGCGGUGAAAUGCGCAGAGAUAUGGAGGAACACCAGUGGCGAAGGCGACUUUCUGGUCUGUAACUGACGCUGAUGUGCGAAAGCGUGGGGAUCAAACAGGAUUAGAUACCCUGGUAGUCCACGCCGUAAACGAUGAGUGCUAAGUGUUAGGGGGUUUCCGCCCCUUAGUGCUGCAGCUAACGCAUUAAGCACUCCGCCUGGGGAGUACGACCGCAAGGUUGAAACUCAAAGGAAUUGACGGGGACCCGCACAAGCGGUGGAGCAUGUGGUUUAAUUCGAAGCAACGCGAAGAACCUUACCAAAUCUUGACAUCCCUUGACAACUCUAGAGAUAGAGCUUUCCCCUUCGGGGGACAAAGUGACAGGUGGCGCAUGGUUGUCGUCAGCUCGUGUCGUGAGAUGUUGGGUUAAGUCCCGCAACGAGCGCAACCCUUAAGCUUAGUUGCCAUCAUUAAGUUGGGCACUCUAAGUUGACUGCCGGUGACAAACCGGAGGAAGGUGGGGAUGACGUCAAAUCAUCAUGCCCCUUAUGAUUUGGGCUACACACGUGCUACAAUGGACAAUACAAAGGGCAGCGAAACCGUGAGGUCAAGCAAAUCCCAUAAAGUUGUUCUCAGUUCGGAUUGUAGUCUGCAACUCGACUACAUGAAGCUGGAAUCGCUAGUAAUCGUAGAUCAGCAUGCUACGGUGAAUACGUUCCCGGGUCU